GAGGCUGUAGCUCAGUCGGUAGAGCAUCGGACUUUUAAUCCGUUGGUCCUGGGUUCGAGUCCCAGCAGCCUCA
This 73-nucleotide transfer RNA is filed under the name bacterium. RNAcentral describes it as "tRNA-Lys". It matches the Rfam family "tRNA". Rfam says of the family: Transfer RNA (tRNA) molecules are approximately 80 nucleotides in length. Their secondary structure includes four short double-helical elements and three loops (D, anti-codon, and T loops). The record is from RNAcentral. RNAcentral also lists the same sequence under 3 other names.